UACCCACCUGAGAGGAAAGAAAAACAAAAUAUAGAGCAUUUCAUUCUUCUCAAAAGUUUCAAAUGAGCAAGAAAGGUAUGUAUCCCCUCAAAAGAGCACAAGUAGAAUUAGACUUUCACCAUUGUUAACACCAUCAUCACCAUACACCAUUCAUUCGCCACACAUGCACAUCUUGAUUUGACUUAUUGACUUGUUUCUUUGGAUCCAUGGUUUGACUAUGCAAUAAAUGUCUAGUAAGUAUGUAUACUUUAUCUCCCACUUAUGAGCUCCAG
Molecule: long non-coding RNA, 272 nt
Filed under: Sorghum bicolor (sorghum)
Lineage: Eukaryota; Viridiplantae; Streptophyta; Magnoliopsida; Poales; Poaceae
Description: long non-coding RNA (SBIC_LNC014544)
Source: RNAcentral